CAUAUAUCUGUUGCUCGGAAAUUUUUAUCUUGGGGAUUAGUGUGACCUUUCCAAAUUGCUUCACAAUUUACAUAUUUCAAUUCAUGAAUUUUUCAUAAUUUCCGGAGUGUAGAGGAUAUGGCGGUUCGAGUUAUGAACGGCACCGCCGUCUUCCGCUGCUGCGUGGUGUCGCCGCCGCUCUCCGCCGUCCGAUGCUGCCUGCACCAGCAAAAGUCUGUUGUUCAAUGCCACUCCUCCUCCCGCUUCUCGAUUUCCCGGCGACUUCACUAUCGACUCGUAUCUUUUGGAUGUGGGAGGGUUUCUAUUUCGAGGUACUCAACUCAGAGUCUGGUGGAUUUUGUGGUGGAAGAGCUCGAGUCACUGCGCAAGCGCGGCAGAGUUCGCGCCGCAAACAAAUUGGAAUUGAAAAUCGGUGAAGAGAUUCUUGAGAAUAAGUUGGGAAAGCAGGUCUUGCAGAAAGGAUUGCUGCUGGAGUUCAGGAAAGACCCGGAGAGAGUAUUGCUAGCAGUUGCACAGAAACCAGAUGGCAAAAAGAAUUGGGUGGUUUCUGAUCAGAAUGGUGUCAUGACAUCUAUUAAGCCACAACAAAUUACUUUCAUUGUUCCUGGUAUCACGAACUUUGACCACGCAGAGAUAUCAAACUUCAUUCAGAAAGCUCAAGAUAAUUUGGAUCCUGCAUUGCUCGAGUUUGCGUGGAUUGAGCUUGUAGAAAAGAAUAAGUCAACGACAGUGGAGGGACUUGCUGAGAUGAUUUUUGGUAGUGUGGAACCUCUUGAGUGCUAUUCUGCCUAUCUAUUGCUUUCGAGAGAUGAUGUAUACUUCACAGUUAUGGAGACGAAAGGUUCAAAUUCUGUUUAUGGGCCCAGACCUGCCGUUCAGGUUGAAGAACUUACUCAAAGGAAGCAUGCCAAAGAGGCUGUGGAGAGGGAGUUCGAAGAGUUUGUUAAUUUACUAAAAUCUGCCAGGGAUAUGCCUCUGCAUGCAAAGCCUCCAAAGUCUACAUGGAUAUCUGAUGAAAAAAAUCAGAAGAAAAUUUUGUCUCUUAAAGCAUAUGCAAUUGAUGAUUGUAGGAGUGACGAAGAAAAGAAAACUGCUGGGACGAUUCUGAAGGCCAUGGGACUUUCUAAAACAUCAUCAGCAGCAGUGAAUCUCCUUACUGCUGUUGGUUAUUUUCCAGUGCAUGUAAAUCUUGAUUUAUUGAAGUUAAACAUCCGUACUGAUCACCGGGAAGAGAUUAUUGCAGCUGCUGAUAGGCUUCUGUCUGAGUCGGCUGACCUGGAUGAGGUUGACAGAAUAAAUCUGACUCACUUGAAGGUUUAUGCCAUUGAUGUUGAUGAAGCUGAUGAGCUCGAUGAUGCGCUGAGUGCAACUAGUCUUCAGGAUGGCCGAAUAAAGAUCUGGAUCCAUGUUGCAGAUCCGACUAGAUUAGUCCAGCCAGGGAGCAUGGUUGACAAAGAGGCGAUGAAGAGGGGAACUUCUGUUUUCUUACCAACUGCUACAUACCCCAUGUUCCCCGAGAGAUUAGCCAUGGAAGGCAUGAGUUUAAAGCAGGGGGAGCACUGCAAAGCAGUCACAGUCUCGGUUGUGCUGCAUUCGGAUGGCGGCAUUGCAGAAUACUCGGUGGAAAACUCUAUCAUCAAGCCAACAUAUAUGCUAACAUAUGAGAGUGCUACCGAACUUCUCCAUCUGAACCUGGAGGAGGAGGCUGAACUAAGACUUCUUUCAGAGGCUGCUGCACUCCGGUUUCAAUGGCGUCGAGGACAGGGUGCAAUAGACACAUCUACACUAGAAACGAGAAUCAAAGUGACUAAUCCAGACGAUCCAGAGCCUUCGAUCACGCUGUACGUGGAGAAUCAGUCGGACCCCGCAAUGCGACUUGUAUCCGAGAUGAUGAUACUCUGUGGUGAAGUUAUGGCCACUUUUGGUUCGUUAAACAACAUCCCCUUACCUUACCGAGGCCAACCUCAGUCCAAUAUCGAUUCAUCGGCUUUUGCACAUCUCCCCGAAGGCCCCGUAAGGAGUUCUGCAUUGGUUAAGACCAUGCGUGCCGCUGAAAUGGAUUUCAGAAAGCCUAUACGCCACGGAACUUUAGGACUUCCUGGAUAUGUUCAAUUCACAUCUCCGAUUCGCAGAUAUAUGGAUUUUCUGGCUCACUAUCAGGUGAAAGCUUUUCUUAGGGGGGAUACUCCUCCUUUCUCAGCAGGACAGCUGGAGGUGAUGGCAUCUAUGGUGAACAUGACUACUAGGGUUGUGAGGAAGCUCAGUUCCAGCAGCCUCCGGUAUUGGAUAAUAGAAUAUUUGAGGCGGCAACCGAAAGAAAAACGAUUUUCCGCUUUGGUGCUCCGAUUCAUCAAAGAUAGAGUUGCCUCGAUACUCUUGUUGGAGGUUGGAGUACAAUCUUCGGCCUGGGUAUCUAUCGGCGUACACGUAGGCGACGAAGUAAAAGUUCAAGUUGAAGAAGCCCAUCCACGUGAUGAUGUUCUUUCUUGUAAAGAGGCUCCAGGGUUAUAAAAAUCUCGAUUCCGUUAAAUAAAAUGAAUAGACAUUGAAGACUCAAGUAAUUCCGGUUCUCAGACUAAGUUAUACGCAUCUAAGUGUAUCUACACAUACGCCAGCUACCCGAGAAAUUUGAGAAUGGAUGGUCCUUAAUCCAUAUACCUGCAGUAAACCCUAGUGUGGUUUUGUUUUCAUUAUCUGUUUCAUAGCAGCAGCGAGAACCAACGAUGGAGAUUGAAGACAUGUGUAUACGUAUUCGCGAACAAGUCGAGGAAUAGGGCCCGAAAUACAGACAGCUGAUUUGAGGUAUCAUUCUGGGAUUUUUUGUCCACAAUCUAAAAUGUAUGUAUGUCCCCCUUUUCAUAUACAUACAAUCCUUUCACUUUCCUGCCAUCAUUCAUCAACUUCUCCAAAAUUAUUUUAAAUCUUCCACUGAA
Erythranthe guttata (spotted monkey flower) is the source of this 2933-nucleotide RNA transcript. It is a transcript of the gene named Ribonuclease II/R family protein, with no coding region annotated. The record is from RefSeq and is a predicted model, not a curated record. NCBI's taxonomy places the organism in Eukaryota, Viridiplantae, Streptophyta, Magnoliopsida, Lamiales, Phrymaceae.